UGGGGAAUCUUGCGCAAUGGGCGAAAGCCUGACGCAGCAACGCCGCGUGGGGGACGAAGGCCUUCUGGGUUGUAAACUCCUUUCAGCAGGGACGAUCGUGACGGUACCUGCAGAAGAAGCCCCGGCCAACUACGUGCCAGCAGCCGCGGUAAUACGUAGGGGGCGAGCGUUGUCCGGAUUCAUUGGGCGUAAAGAGCUCGUAGGCGGCUUGGCAAGUCAAGUGUGAAAUCUCCAGGCUCAACCUGGAGUCGCCACUCGAUACUGCCAUGGCUAGAGUCCGGUAGGGGACCAUGGAAUUCCUGGUGUAGCGGUGAAAUGCGCAGAUAUCAGGAGGAACACCAGUGGCGAAGGCGGUGGUCUGGGCCGGUACUGACGCUGAGGAGCGAAAGCGUGGGGAGCGAACAGG
This 406-nucleotide ribosomal RNA is filed under the name uncultured Acidibacter sp. Its description in RNAcentral is "bacterial SSU rRNA". It matches the Rfam family "Bacterial small subunit ribosomal RNA", at positions 355 to 776 of the family's 1533-position model. The record is from RNAcentral. Lineage: Bacteria; Pseudomonadati; Pseudomonadota; Gammaproteobacteria.